AGUGAACGCUGGCGGCGUGCCUAAUACAUGCAAGUCGAACGGAGUGGCUCACGGGUGAGUAAUGUAUAGCUCAUCUGCCCUACACUAGAGGACAACAGUUGGAAACGGUUGCUAAUACUCUAUAGUGUAGGAUGAGGCUUUAUUGUAUCAGCUAGUUGGUGAGGUAUUGGUUCACCAAGGCUAUGACGCAUAACUGGUCUGAGAGGAUGAUCAGUGACCCUGGAACUGAGACGCGGUUCAGACUCCUACGGGAGGGAGCAGUAGGGAAUAUUGCUCAAUGGAGGAAACCCUGAAGCAGCAACGUCGCGUGGAGGAUGACACUUUUCGGAGCGUAAACUCCUUUUGUUAGGGAAGCGGUACCUAACGAAUAAGGACCGGCUAACUCCGUGCCAGCAGCCGCGGGAAUUC
This 408-nucleotide ribosomal RNA is filed under the name uncultured bacterium. RNAcentral describes it as "partial 16S ribosomal RNA". It matches the Rfam family "Bacterial small subunit ribosomal RNA", at positions 29 to 526 of the family's 1533-position model. The record is from RNAcentral.